GACCCUCGACCUUAGUUGCCAGCAUUCAGUUGGGCACUCUAAGGUGACUGCCGGCUAAAAGUCGGAGGAAGGUGGGGAUGACGUCAAAUCAUCAUGCCCCUUAUGACCUGGGCUACACACGUGCUACAAUGGGCGGUACAAAGGGUCGCGAACCCGCGAGGGGGAGCCAAUCCCAAAAAGCCGCUCUCAGUUCGGAUUGCAGGCUGCAACUCGCCUGCAUGAAGCCGGAAUCGCUAGUAAUCGCGGAUCAGCAUGCCGCGGUCGAAUACGUUCCCGGGCCUU
This 282-nucleotide ribosomal RNA is filed under the name uncultured Anoxybacillus sp. Its description in RNAcentral is "partial 16S ribosomal RNA". It matches the Rfam family "Bacterial small subunit ribosomal RNA", at positions 1098 to 1382 of the family's 1533-position model. The record is from RNAcentral. Lineage: Bacteria; Bacillati; Bacillota; Bacilli; Caryophanales; Anoxybacillaceae.